CCGAGUUUACAACUCCCAAACCCCUGUGAACAUACCUAUAUGUUGCCUCGGCGGAUCAGCCCGGCGCCUCGUGAAACGGAUCAGGCCCGCCGCUAGGAUCCACUAACUCUGUUUUAUUUGGAAUCUUCUGAGUAGUACAAAUAAAUCA
Molecule: unclassified non-coding RNA, 148 nt
Filed under: soil metagenome
Description: partial internal transcribed spacer 1
Source: RNAcentral